UACGAAGGGGGCUAGCGUUGUCCGGAUUUACUGGGCGUAAAGAGCGCGCAGGCGGUCGUUCAAGUCGCGUGUGAAAGCCCCCGGCUCAACUGGGGAGGGUCACGCGAUACUGAUCGACUCGAAGGCAGGAGAGGGUAGUGGAAUUCCCGGUGUAGUGGUGAAAUGCGUAGAUAUCGGGAGGAACACCAGUGGCGAAGGCGACUACCUGGCCUGUUCUUGACGCUGAGGCGCGAAAGCUAGGGGAGCAAACGGG
RNAcentral lists this ribosomal RNA (253 nucleotides) under uncultured bacterium. RNAcentral's name for it is "partial 16S ribosomal RNA". It matches the Rfam family "Bacterial small subunit ribosomal RNA", at positions 524 to 776 of the family's 1533-position model. The record is from RNAcentral.